Molecule: long non-coding RNA, 2099 nt
Filed under: Salvia miltiorrhiza (redroot sage)
Lineage: Eukaryota; Viridiplantae; Streptophyta; Magnoliopsida; Lamiales; Lamiaceae
Description: long non-coding RNA (SMIL_LNC005780)
Source: RNAcentral
GAUAUUUUCACAAGCUGAUCAGAAUACCAUCAAAAGCCAUUUUUUUUAUGUGAGGAUUAAUGGAAGGGGUUUCAUCCACGCUGCCAAUUUCCUCCGAUAAAACCCCCUCCACGUAUCAAAUCCAUCACCAACUCCUUACUAUAAUCCAUCACCCAACUCUCACCGAGCAUCAGCCACCGGUGGAGCUCUUCUCUAUCUCCAUCAGUCUACAAGAAGAAAUUCCAUCAUAUCCUCCUUCUCUUCAAAUCAUCUGCAGGCAUAGCAACCCCACAAAACAAAAGUUCCAUCUUCAACCAACUCCCAUUCUCACAGAGAAACCAAAAAUCAUUUUUCACAAGAGGUAAACCAACUCUCACUAAUCAAUCAUUUGUUUCACAAAGAAGCUAUCUUUUUCAUGUUUUUGUUGGCGUGUGCGUGUGUAUGUGUGCUGCUGUGUGCGUGAGUUCUUAGAACUGUCGUCGUCGUUGUGGCGAGUCGGGCAGGUUGGGAUCGAGAGAGAACAGGGGAGGAUCCGGCGACGGCAGUGGUGGCCUGAGGCUCCUACUGGCCGUCUGCCAGAAAUAGAGAGAGAAAGAGGAGCGGCGGUCCGGCUGACUGCUGCUGUCGGCUGGAGCAGAGGGGGAUGGCUGCAGAACGAAGCCGCCGGCGCUGCGCGCCACGGCGGCCGACGGAGGAAGAGAAGGGGGCAGCGGGGCGGUGGCCUAUUAGCUGCUGCUGCUUGCCGGUUGGACGGAGAGAAGGGUUAGGCGAGAGGGAGACAGAGGAGGUGGCGAUGGCGUCGGCCGCAGCUGCUGUUGUCGCCGACAGUCGCUGAUGGCGACGACUUCGCCGGAGGAAGGAGGCGGUGGAUGGGUAGGCGGGAGCUUAGGGCUUUUGACGAUUUUGGGGAUUUAGGAUUUCUGCUUUUGGGGGUUCGGUGAGUUGAGGGAGGAGGGAGAAAGAUAGAGAGAGGGAGGUAUUAGCGUAAGAAAAAGGAAAGGGGAAAGGUACUUGGGCCUUGGGCCUUUUAUUUAAUAAAGUGGGCUGCAUUUUUAUAACUUGGGCUAUUAAUUUUUUUUUUUUUGUGCUGCAUUUUUGCAUGAAGAAGGCCUCUUAUUAAAUUAUUAAUCGGGCCAUGAAUUUACUUAUUUGUGAAUUGAGUUUUUAAAGUAAAAGCCGAGCAAGGGUAUUAUUAAAACCCUUAGCCAAGAAAAAUGAUUUUCAAGUUUUAUGUUGAAUUUUUUUUGAAAACCCGGGUGUUGCGAAUCUAGUUAGAAAAUUAUGAUAAGUCAUGAAGGUUAAGCUUGAUUUUAGGACUAUGAGUUUAAGUUGAGAACUUAUCUUGUAGGUCCUACAGAAGAGGAUAUUUAGGCUCUUGGUCAGCUGAGUUAUAUUGUUUGGAUAUUCUCCAAAUCAGGUGAGGCUUUAUUUACGAAAUGUAUGUUUGAGCUAAUAAGCUCGUUUUUAUGAAAAGUUAAAGUUGAUGGUUCAUGCUUAAAAUGUUUUUGCUCUCUAUUGGUUAUUGCUUCUACCAGAACAUUGUUGGCUCCGCCAACCAGAACAUUGUUAGCUCUGCUAACCAGAAUUGUGUACGUACACCAGAACCUGUUGUCUCGAGAGAUCGGUGACAACCAGUUGUAGAUAGCAUGCCCAAUAGAUGGCCAGGAAAAUACGAGCUCAGAUUAUUUUAGUAUGCAUGGAAUGACUCACUUUAAAAACAUUCUGUGUUAUACUGUUUAAGGCAUGAAUUAUCUUUUUCACUAAAUAAUUUUUAAAAUGUUUUUAAAUGGCUCAACCCACUGAGUACACUAGUACUCAGCCCUGCAAUUGUUUUCAAAACCUUUUGCAGAUUGAGCAGCUGGUGGUGACGUGCGAGGCUGAGGAAGAGUUGUUGCUAUGGAUUUUGAAGAAAUGCUAUGUUUACUUCCGCUGAAAUAAAUUCACUUAGUGAAUAUUGUCUGAUGCCUAACUUUGUUAAUACUUUUAUUCAUAUUUUUGAUAUGAAUUUCACUCUCCAUCACUUUCCUAGCGAUUGUUUUCCGCACCUAUUAUAUGCUUAGUAUGAGACGUUGUCUUGGUCUCAGACCUUCGAACUUUCGAUCCUGAUAGGGAGAAUAAUU